Molecule: ribosomal RNA, 1263 nt
Filed under: metagenome
Description: bacterial LSU rRNA
Rfam family: Bacterial large subunit ribosomal RNA
Source: RNAcentral
ACAGGUGGGUGAGUGUAAAUGCACUAAGGCGCGCGAGAGAGACCUCUCUAAGGAACUCGGCACAUUAGCCUCGUAACUUCGGGAAAAGAGGUGCUCACUUCGGUGAGCCACAGUAAAUUGCGUUUAGCGACUGUUUAACAAAAACACAGCACUCUGCUAAGUCGUUAAGACGACGUAUAGGGUGUGACACGUGACCAAUGCGGAAAGAUUAAGGCAUUUUGUUAGCCGCAAGGCGAAGCUCGGUGCCAAAGUCCCCGUGAAUGUCGGCCGUAACUAUAACGGUCCUAAGGUAGCGAAAUUCCUUGUCGGGUAAGUUCCGACCUGCACGAAUCGUGUAACGACUGAACGACUGUCUCGGAGAGGAUCUCGGCGAAACUGUAACUGCGGUGAAGAUGCCGCAUGCCCGCAGUAGGACGGAAAGACCCUAUGCACCUUUACUGUAAGCUGGUAUUGUGUUCUGAUUAAUAAUGCGUAGCGUAGGUGGGAGGCUUUGAAGUGAGUGCUUCGGUGCUCAUGGAGCCGCAAUGUGAAACACCACUCUUUGCUAAUUAGGAUUCUAACCUCGAUUCCUGUCAACCAGGCGAGGGACAGUGCUUGCGGGUCAGUUUGACUGGGGCGGUUUCCUCCCAAAGAGUAACGGAGGAGCGCGAAGCUUGGCUCAGCACGGUUGGCAACCGUGCGUCGAGCGUAUGGGUAUAAGCCAGGUUAACUGUGAGACCUACAAGUCGAGCAGAUGCGAAAGCAGGCCCAAAUGAUCCGAUGGUUUAAUGUGGAAUUGCCAUCGCUCAACGGACAAAAGGUACGCUAGGGAUAACAGGCUGAUCGGUUCCAAGAGUUCACAUCGACGAACCGGUUUGGCACCUCGAUGUCGGCUCAUCGCAUCCUGGGGCUGGAGAAGGUCCCAAGGGUCCGGCUGUUCGCCGGUUAAAGCGGUACGCGAGCUGGGUUCAGAACGUCGUGAGACAGUUCGGUCCUUAUCCACUGUGGGCGCAGGAAUCUUGAGGGGUUCAUUCUCUAGUACGAGAGGACCGAGAAUGACGCACUUCUGGUGUGGCAGUUGUUCCAUCAGGGGCAUCGCUGCGUAGCCAUGUGCGGAAGAGAUAAGCGCUGAAAGCAUCUAAGUGCCAAGCUCAUCCCAAGAUAUGGAUUCCCGGACGCAAGUCCCUAAAGACCCCCGGCAGACUACCGGGUUGAUAGGUCAGGCAUGUAAGCGUCGCGAGAUGUUUAGUGGACUGAUACUAAUUGGUCGUGCGGCUUGAUCGC